RNAcentral lists this ribosomal RNA (496 nucleotides) under uncultured bacterium. Its description in RNAcentral is "partial 16S ribosomal RNA". It matches the Rfam family "Bacterial small subunit ribosomal RNA", at positions 29 to 507 of the family's 1533-position model. The record is from RNAcentral.
AUGAACGCUGGCGGCGUGCCUCAUACAUGCAAGUCGAGCGAACAGACGAGGAGCUUGCUCCUCUGACGUUAGCGGCGGACGGGUGAGUAACACGUGGAUAACCUACCUAUAAGACUGGGAUAACUUCGGGAAACCGGAGCUAAUACCGGAUAAUAUAUUGAACCGCAUGGUUCAAUAGUGAAAGACGGUUUUGCUGUCACUUAUAGAUGGAUCCGCGCCGCAUUAGCUAGUUGGUAAGGUAACGGCUUACCAAGGCGACGAUGCGUAGCCGACCUGAGAGGGUGAUCGGCCACACUGGAACUGAGAUACGGUCCAGACUCCUACGGGAGGCAGCAGUAGGGAAUCUUCCGCAAUGGGCGAAAGCCUGACGGAGCAACGCCGCGUGAGUGAUGAAGGUCUUCGGAUCGUAAAACUCUGUUAUUAGGGAAGAACAAAUGUGUAAGUAACUAUGCACGUCUUGACGGUACCUAAUCAGAAAGCCACGGCUAACUACGUG